CUGAUGUGCAACCCGCUGAGGAAGACGGUCUCGAUUUUACUCCGUUCAUUCGGAGUAAGACUGCUGUAUAGCAGACAGGCUGAUAGUUCAGAAGGGGAAGGACGCUACCUCGGCAGCAGCCCCGGUAAUACGAAGUCCCGAGCGUUGUUCGAAUCACUGGGCGUAAGGAGCGUAGCGCGCGUAAGUCAGAUUUGAAUCCCGGGCUCAUCCCGGAACUGCAUCCGAUACUGCCGUGCUAGAGGAUUGGAGAGGUAGCUGGAAUUCUUGGUGUAGCAGUGAAAUGCGUAGAUAUCAAGAGGAACACUCGUGGCGAAAGCGAGCUACUGGACAACUCCUGACGCUGAGGCUCGAAGGCUAGGGUAGCGAAAGGGAUUAGGUACCCCUGUAGUCCUAGCAGUAAACGGUGCACGCUUGGUGUGAGGGGAAUCGACCCCCCUUGUGCCGGAGCUAACGCGUUAAGCGUGCCGCCUGGGAAGUACGGUCGCAAGACUAAAACUCAAAGAAAUUGACGGGGACCCGCACAAGCGGUGGAGUAUGUGGCUUAAUUCGAUGCAACGCGAAGAACCUUACCAAGGCUUGACAUGCAUCUCUAAACACGUGAAAGCGUGUGACCCUUCGGGGAAUUUGCACAGGUGCUGCAUGGCCGUCGUCAGCUCGUGUCGUGAGAUGUUGGGUUAAGUCCCGCAACGAGCGCAACCCUUGUGAUUAGUUGCCAGCACGUUAAGGUGGGAACUCUAGUCAGACUGCCCAGAUCAACUGGGAGGAAGGUGGGGACGACGUCAGGUCAGUAUGGCCCUUACGCCUUGGGCUGCACACAUACUACAAUGCCCAGCACAAUGAGAACCGAUACCGCGAGGUGGAGGAAAUCUGUAAAACUGGGCUCAGUUCGGAUUGGAGGCUGCAACUCGCCUCCAUGAAGUUGGAAUCGCUAGUAAUGGGGCAUCAUCUACGGCCCCGUGAAUACGUUCCCGGGCCUUGUACACACCGCC
This 989-nucleotide ribosomal RNA is filed under the name uncultured Verrucomicrobiota bacterium. RNAcentral's name for it is "bacterial SSU rRNA". It matches the Rfam family "Bacterial small subunit ribosomal RNA", at positions 383 to 1394 of the family's 1533-position model. The record is from RNAcentral. Lineage: Bacteria; Pseudomonadati; Verrucomicrobiota.